Molecule: ribosomal RNA, 484 nt
Filed under: uncultured bacterium
Lineage: Bacteria
Description: partial 16S ribosomal RNA
Rfam family: Bacterial small subunit ribosomal RNA
Source: RNAcentral
AAUGAACGCUGGCGGCAGGCCUAACACAUGCAAGUCGAGCGGAUGAAGGGAGCUUGCUCCUGGAUUCAGCGGCGGACGGGUGAGUAAUGCCUAGGAAUCUGCCUGGUAGUGGGGGAUAACGUCCGGAAACGGGCGCUAAUACCGCAUACGUCCUGAGGGUGAAAGUGGGGGAUCUUCGGACCUCACGCUAUCAGAUGAGCCUAGGUCGGAUUAGCUAGUUGGUGGGGUAAAGGCCUACCAAGGCGACGAUCCGUAACUGGUCUGAGAGGAUGAUCAGUCACACUGGAACUGAGACACGGUCCAGACUCCUACGGGAGGCAGCAGUGGGGAAUAUUGGACAAUGGGCGAAAGCCUGAUCCAGCCAUGCCGCGUGUGUGAAGAAGGUCUUCGGAUUGUAAAGCACUUUUAGUUGGGAGGAAGGGCAGUAAGUUAAUACCUUGCUGUUUUGACGGUACCAACAGAAUAAGCACCGGCUAACUUCGUG